AGCACUUUGUAUGUGUUCAACUAGUGGACAAAGUCAUGAAAGACAGGUACAAAAAUCAAUCUUCUUCUGCCCAGAACUCACUAUUCAGUAUGAGCUUUGAUACAUCCAAGAAGGGACAUG
RNAcentral lists this small nucleolar RNA (120 nucleotides) under Nannospalax galili (Upper Galilee mountains blind mole rat). RNAcentral's name for it is "Small nucleolar RNA SNORA40 (ENSNGAG00000004277.1)". It matches the Rfam family "Small nucleolar RNA SNORA40". From Rfam's summary of the family: The snoRNA ACA 40 belongs to the H/ACA family of snoRNAs and guides the pseudouridylation of 28S rRNA subunit at position U4565. NB This family has a high threshold value to exclude a large number of closely related sequences that do not appear to have conserved H and ACA boxes, and may be pseudogenes. Lineage: Eukaryota; Metazoa; Chordata; Mammalia; Rodentia; Spalacidae. The record is from Rfam by way of RNAcentral.